GUGCUCGCUUCAGCAGCACACAUACAAAAAUUGGAAUGAUACAGAGAUGAUUAGCAUGGCCCCUGCCCAUGCUAAGGAUGACACGCAAAUUCAUGAAGCAUUUCAUAUUUUU
Small nuclear RNA from Artibeus jamaicensis (Jamaican fruit-eating bat), 112 nucleotides. The record is from RefSeq and is a predicted model, not a curated record. NCBI's taxonomy places the organism in Eukaryota, Metazoa, Chordata, Mammalia, Chiroptera, Phyllostomidae.